ACUUUUGCAGUUUACCAACACUGUUUGUGUGUUUUAUCAACACCGGCAUUUUUGGCGUAAAGCUUUUAUUUCAAUGGCCGUUUUUUACUUUUAAUUAAAUAGUUAGGUACUUACCCCAUUUUCAAUUUAAUUGGUCCGAAGUCGGAAAACAAUCUAUGAGAUUUAAGGCUAACCAUGGAACCUUGGAGCGCCAGCAGCAUCUAUUCUUUCUGGAUACUUUCAAUUGUUUUUUGUCCAGCUUACUCUGCUUGUAAAAAAGGUCAACCCGAUGCUGGACAGGAUUUCCCAACUCAGUUAUCAGUAUGAUCGGCGUCAACCUAACUACAUAACUCAUUCACACAUCUUGUCGGGAUCAUCCUUACGAGCGUCCGGAAGAAGCCAUAGCUUUUAAGCUCCAUUAAGCCUUUAUAAUAUACAUAAGCAAUAUAAUUGAAAGACUACAGCAAAAACACAAUGUUCCCUUUUAAAGUUUUAUUAUCCUCUAAAUUCUUUUGUUCCUUCAGCGAAAUUUCUUACUAAACUGCCUCGUAUUUAAUUAAUUUUUUAAAGGCCGCACGUUUUUUUAUUAAAACAAUGAAAAUACAUUGGCUUUAAAAUAAGGAUGAGCUCAUGGGCGUGUUUAAAGACCGGUUUCCAAAGCAUGCCAACGAGCAAGCCGAAAAAACUCAUAAAACCACGAAAUGCAGCACGUGGUAAACGCACUUAACAGGUAACACCCAUUUGGGGCAAUGAUGAUAAGGUCCACGAGGAGAGAAAAGAAGUGAUGGAGCAAAAGUUGGGGAGCCUUUUCUUAAAGUAUAGUUGCCCCAAAUAGAAAUGCAAGGUGUACCAUCUACAACAGCCGAAAACAAGGCCAAUUCCGAGGAUAAAACAACUACAUGAGAGGAUUCAGCAGCACAACAUCGUAGACAGCAGUACAAACAUUUAAAACCGCAAACACCAACCAACUUGGCAGCAACAUAGGAGACCGCAGAAACAAUGCCACGCUUCUCAAAGUGCUCCCAAGUUGCCUCUGCCGCUGCCACUUCCACGCCGGCCCAUGCCUUUGGAAUCCCAUACUUAAUGUGAAUGAGAGCCGUUUAGAAUCGCGGUUAUGAGGAGCAUCCAAUGGCGACGGGGAGUGGAGCUCGAGGGACAGUUAAUAAACUUCUGGCAGGGCCCGAAACUUGGUCUAAAACCAUGGCGAGAAAGUUGAGAAGCGCAGAGAAAUUAGUUGGCAAGACGUGCGUAAGGUGUGUUACGGACAGUUCCGCUUCAGACCGUAAACCAGAGGGAUCCAAUGUGGUUCGGUCCCGGGAAUCUUGUCAGUCAGUCACUUAGACCGUUUUGGGGCCAAGCACAGAGAGAAAAUGGCGGCGACAUUAUCCCACUGACACCGCCUCCGCCUCCGCCACCGCCAGGACCUGCCCCACUGCCGGUGGCCACAACUGCCAGGACACUGCCACUGCUGUCCACCGGAUUCACUCCUCCGGCGCCUCCGA
Molecule: long non-coding RNA, 1481 nt
Organism: Drosophila ananassae
Lineage: Eukaryota; Metazoa; Arthropoda; Insecta; Diptera; Drosophilidae
Exons: 4
Source: RefSeq, a predicted model, not a curated record